AGGGACACAAUCUGUCAGUCUUUAUUAUAUGUCAUUAAGAGAGUUGUUUCCCUUGGACCAGUGUUAUUCUAUGGGUCAGUGGUUAUGAUUUCCCGCCAGUUUGAUCAUGUGACUAUUGUGUUCAGUUGAGCUCACGUUUUCUAGGAAGAGACAUGUACAUUGUCCUCAUGGUUUUUAAAUUUUUGUGAUUUAUGGAAUAUCAGUAUUAUUUAUAAGGAUAGUAACAGCACACUGGAGAGAGAGAGAAGAGUGUAUAUUGUAAAUGUGUUGAUGUAAACACUUAGUUCCAUAAACUAAGUGUGGUUACUUGGUUACUUGGUUACUUAGAUGAUUGAUUGUAUUGAACUAGCUAUAGUCUUGUCUAAGAUACAUGCUGUGUCAACAGAAAAUAAAAGAGAUAAAGAACCUACAAAUCCUUGACUUUUAUUCACCCUUUCAAAAUGAUAAAUUUCAAAGGAGUUAC
This is a long non-coding RNA of Ruditapes philippinarum (Manila clam), 463 nucleotides long. RefSeq lists it as uncharacterized. The transcript has 3 exons. The record is from RefSeq and is a predicted model, not a curated record. Lineage: Eukaryota; Metazoa; Mollusca; Bivalvia; Venerida; Veneridae.